GUCUAUGCAUCCCAGGAUUUCCAGAACAAAAACUAAAUUGAAAAAUAAAAUAUAUUAGCUGAACCUGUUAUUAUGACAUAUUUAAGCAAGACAUGGUGACCUCCAAAAUUGGAGAUCAUUAAAGACCAAAGUAAUAGCAUGUAGGCAUUAUUUCUCAAAUUGAAGUAUAAAAAACAUGUAAAACAAAUAAAUUUAAUUGCAUGCUAAGGUAAGAAAAUAUCGAUAAAAUUAUUAUUUUAUCUUAUUUUAUAAUUCUAAACAGAUUAUUCAUGUAGUGAAAAUAAAAGACAAUUUUUAUUCUAAUUUUAACUCAGAAAUUAUUAGGCUUCUUUAACAAUUUUGCUGAAAGGCUAAAGAGAUAAGGAGGACAGAUUGUAAUUACCUAACACUGCUGUGGUAACUUAGAAAUACCUGUUAGUCACCAGAACUCAAAAAAGUAACCAGCACUGCAACUAAGAAUGGAUCAUACAAGAGAAACUAGUACCAAGUUACCUUAUAUUAUUUGCUGUUAAAAUGACAUUUUAAAACAACACCAAAAAUUAAGUUGGGGCUAAAACAUUUGUGCAGAAAAGAUUUCAUAUAGCAGGCAAAAAGACUGACAUCCUUAGAAAGGCCCACAUACAAGGCUGGCCCCUUGGCGGGUGUUUAGGAAAUUGAAAUUGAGAGGGUUCCACCGUUCCCUGAGAAGAAUGGCUCACUGUGUCUAAAGUGUUUAUAGAAACAAAGUGGUUACUCUGAACAGGUGCUUUGCUUCUGGGAGUCUGGAAUUUGGGUACAUAUGAGGGAGAAUAACGUCCAUUUAAAAAACUUGGGUACUGAGUCUCUAAUGAGAUUCUGGUACAGGUAGACAUCACUGCACAAGUGUUGCCAAAAUAUGGGGCUGGGAGAAUUAAGCAGAUCCUGGGAACUCCACAGGAGAGAACUCCUGGAAACUUGUGCCCUGGUUUCCUCCAGACUUGACCACAUGCACCUUUUGCCUCUAAUUUUGCCUGUACCCUUUCAUUGUAAUAAACUAAAGAUCUGAAGCAAGGUGACAAAGGAA
This is a long non-coding RNA of Cebus imitator (Panamanian white-faced capuchin), 1042 nucleotides long. RefSeq lists it as uncharacterized. Lineage: Eukaryota; Metazoa; Chordata; Mammalia; Primates; Cebidae. The transcript is spliced from 3 exons. The record is from RefSeq and is a predicted model, not a curated record.